Molecule: ribosomal RNA, 293 nt
Filed under: uncultured bacterium
Lineage: Bacteria
Description: partial 16S ribosomal RNA
Rfam family: Bacterial small subunit ribosomal RNA
Source: RNAcentral
GUGUCAGCAGCCGCGGUAAGACGUAGGGGGCGAGCGUUGUCCGGAUUUACUGGGCGUAAAGAGCGCGUAGGCGGCUCGUUAAGUGUGAAGUGAAAUCUCCAGGGCUCAACCCGGAAACUGCUUCGCAUACUGGCGAGCUUGAGGAAUGCAGAGGUAAGUAGAAUUCCUGGUGUAGCGGUGAAAUGCGUAGAUAUCAGGAGGAAUACCGACGGCGACGGCAGCUUACUGGGCAUUAUCUGACGCUGAGGCGCGAAAGCGUGGGUAGCAAACAGGAUUAGAUACCCUCGUAGUCC